AUCCACCAGCGCUACCAUCUCCCACCUCCUCUCCCUCCUCCAGUCCUCCUUCCUGCCUGUUCACUCCAUGCCAGCCCCCCGAUGCCAGCUGCUCUAUUGUACUUUUCAAGGGCCAGAGGCCGUCCCCGAAGCUCUUUCCAAGCAUCCCUAAUAUAUCAGGAGGGACAGAGGGGCCAGUUCAAGCAGGCAGCCGACAACACCAAGUCUUAGCUGUAGCAAAACAGAAAACUGAAGUCUGACAACGAAGCCUGCGCCCAGCCCAACCAUAAACGUGUUGUCCCUGAGCACCAGCUGGAGCCCGCCAAGACCCUGGAGGGAGGGGAUAAGGAAGGUCGCACCCACGGGGACAGAAGUCCUCCAGGGUGAAGAAACUCAAAUUAAGAGAGCUGAAGUAACUGUUUCAUGGCUCCACAGACAGUAAAUGGCAGUGUCAUGUCAGGAUCAAACCUGUACCAUUCCUGUCCCCACUGUUCACUUCAGCAAGUCAC
Molecule: long non-coding RNA, 488 nt
Organism: Cervus elaphus (red deer)
Lineage: Eukaryota; Metazoa; Chordata; Mammalia; Artiodactyla; Cervidae
Exons: 4
Source: RefSeq, a predicted model, not a curated record